AUCAGUGGCCAUAGCAAAGGGGAUCACCUGAUACCAUUCCGAACUCAGUAGUUAAGCCCUUUAGCGCCGAAGACACCAGAGAUGGGAAAAUAGGGAGCUGCUUUUU
RNAcentral lists this ribosomal RNA (106 nucleotides) under Mycoplasmopsis agalactiae. The record is from RNAcentral. Lineage: Bacteria; Bacillati; Mycoplasmatota; Mycoplasmoidales; Metamycoplasmataceae.